Molecule: ribosomal RNA, 432 nt
Filed under: uncultured bacterium
Lineage: Bacteria
Description: partial 16S ribosomal RNA
Rfam family: Bacterial small subunit ribosomal RNA
Source: RNAcentral
CCUACGGGGGGCAGCAGUGGGGAAUAUUGGACAAUGGAGGAAACUCUGAUCCAGCCAUGCCGCGUGAAUGAUGAAGGCCUUCGGGUUGUAAAGUUCUUUUGCAGGGGAGGCGGUACCCUGAGAAUAAGCUCCGGCUAACUUCGUGCCAGCAGCCGCGGUAAUACGAAGGGAGCUAGCGUUGUUCGGAAUUACUGGGCGUAAAGGGCGCGUAGGCGGUUUAACAAGUUGGAUGUGAAAGCCCAGGGCUCAACCCUGGAACUGCAUUCAAGACUGUUUUACUUGAAUUCGGUAGAGGUUAGUGGAAUUCCCAGUGUAGAGGUGAAAUUCGUAGAUAUUGGGAAGAAUAUCCGUGGCGAAGGCGGCUAACUGGACCGAAUUGACGCUGAGGCGCGAAAGCGUGGGGAGCAAACAGGAUUAGAUACCCUUGUAGUC